GAUCCGCCCUUUAGUGUUCGUUAUUGUUGUGGUGUAUGAGUGAAUAUUCCGUACAUAAACAACUUUUCGCUAUUGCCGGCGGUAUAAUAAUCAUAGAACGAUAAUAUUACAGUUAUAGUGAGUUAAUACAACGUAGAUUUUAUGGUGAGGUUCCAUGUGUCCGGGCUAUCAAAGGAUAGUGAAAAUAAAAGGGGGGGGGGGGGGAAUAUAACUGCUUGUAUGGCUUCUGCCUGAGGUCGAGUUCAAGCGGUUUUGGAUGGCAUUUCGUUUUCACGUGAUGGUGAUACUGAUUAUGAACCUUCCUCUGAUCAUAGAAGAUAGUGACAAUCUUGUUACUGGGCAGAGCAAUGUUAUAGGCGCAGUAAGUGCGGUUUAGAAGUAAGCAGUUGUGUUAAAUGAGGAAGGGAAACAAAAUGUAAACUGAUGGUUAUAGUAGGCUAGGCCUAGCCCAGGAGGGAAAGGUCUCACUAUUAUUACGAUUACAGUGACAGUGACGCGUCAGAUGACGAGUGGGUGCAUCCUUAUAGCAGUGAUAAAGAUACAGGAUUCGGUUAUCCAUCACUGUUUCCAGCUAGCAUACUCUGCCCCUACUUGUGGGCGAUCGAGCCACGCUACCAACACCGGUAGGCCCAACCUGUGGAACCUUCCGUUGUUGAGGAAGUAGUAGUAUACGUACACCCCGGUACAGCAGGAAGGGAGAAGAAAAAGGGUUAGUAGGCCAGAAACUUGGGCUGAUAAUGUUACAAAAAGGCAAAAAAGCCAGGGCUUUCUUGCCGCCAGAGGUUUGUUAAGAAGGCUGGUGAAAAGAAAACUUCUACAAAGAAAGUCUGUCUCUCCACCACCUACAAGAACGAGUGUUUUUCCAAGAUGGCAGAUGAGGCGAUUAAUGUGAUCUUCAAGGUAUAUUGGUCAGUGGGGGACUACUACGGCUUGCAGCCAGGCCCCAAGCUUCUAAAGAACCCUUUACAGUGAACUCAUCAAGAGGAACAGUCUAUGACUGAAGAAAGCAAGAAAUAACAUUGAGCUCUAGCCUGUAACUGAGCUCUAGCCUAUAACUGUGUGCAAGGCUCUCUACCUCUCCACUCAUGCAGGAACUACAAUGAGGACCUAAGUUGAUAUGAACAGUUCCAAAGGCCUGUUGAAGUUUUUUUUUCUUUAUACAUCUUUUAUUAGUGUUUUAGAGGUCAUACAUGAACACAUGCAACCUCUGCCAGGUUGUUCCAGCCAUUACACCUGUGAACACACCCCUUACUGUCAAUAUUUAGGCUUCCUUUUGUGAAAAAUACCCAAAUUGCAUGACUGUCAUCCAGCCUAGUGUUGCCAUGGUGAAGUUGAAAUAUUACAAAAAGAAAUUCAGUUUCCAUUAUAUCUGAUUUCGCCCUGUGAAGAAAUAUGCCUGGAAUAUUUGUGAACAGUUCAAGAAAGCUCCUAAUGAUGAGAGGUGGGCUGGAAUCUUGAGCAAGAACAGAAGGCACAUAAUUAGAUAAUUUAUAUGGGGCUUAUAGUGCCUUGAAGACUGCCAAACUGACGACGACUGGGUCUGCGUAGCCUUUGGCUCUCAUCAAACCAUAUCAUGGCCCCGCCUGAAUUUCUGAAACAAAUUGUGGUGUAGCCUAGAUCUCAACAUCGAUACUCUCCUACGCUCCUCCCAUCCUGAGUUAAUGACCUCAGCCUAUCAGUGUAAUGACAUGAAAUUCUCAUCUUGAGUUUCAGAUUACUAAAUGAAGUACUCAAGAGUUACUACUGAUAACGAGAGCUACUCAGGAUGUGGAAACGUAUUUCAGCCGCAACUGGAAAUGAUUCUGCCAAGCUCUUUUUUAUCAUCUGAUAGAAGCACUAGUAAUGGACCUCAACUAUUACCAAGGCACAAACUUGUCUGUUCCAUUAUGUUGCUGCUAAGAUGAUAAAAAACAUCUUUCCGGGGACCAGGUUUGCCUUGACGUGCUACAUACAACUUUAAGUAACUUUAGAUCCAGUUUAGUGUUU
Macrobrachium nipponense is the source of this 1986-nucleotide long non-coding RNA. RefSeq lists it as uncharacterized. NCBI's taxonomy places the organism in Eukaryota, Metazoa, Arthropoda, Malacostraca, Decapoda, Palaemonidae. The record is from RefSeq and is a predicted model, not a curated record. The transcript has 3 exons.